Punica granatum (pomegranate) is the source of this 1358-nucleotide non-coding RNA. The record is from RefSeq and is a predicted model, not a curated record. NCBI's taxonomy places the organism in Eukaryota, Viridiplantae, Streptophyta, Magnoliopsida, Myrtales, Lythraceae.
AGAACAUCGCCGAACAAAGAAACGUGAAGCUUCUUCUUCUUUCCAAGCAUCUGUAGGGUUCGCAACUUCAUCAAAAUCGACUGCAAGAAUCUCAAAGCGAGGCAAAGGAGCUGCGCUUCACAAUGAAUAGGGGAUUUUGUCAGGAGUGAUUCGCGGCGACACUGUGCUUUGUCACGCGAGGUCAUAUCCCGAAUGCCAUCGUUGUAGGGGCCCCUUCCAAGUGCUUUGUUCUCGGCUCAAUUUGGCCCUUUAAAGAAGCGGUGGACGUGGAUUUGGGAGAAGCAUCCGCAUUAGAGUUCUGCUAUGCAUCAUGGCUCCAAAAGGCGAAAACAUCAUAGACUGGAGUGAUGAAAUGGAGUUUGCUUCCUAAACGUAAUGCUUGAGAAGAACACACACUACAACAUGGAAGAGCAGUACUUGGCAUGAUAUCACAGCUGAAAUGAUCAAUCUAUUUCCCGAUAAGCAACUGUGUUUGCAGAAGGUAAAGGACAAGCAUUAGAGAAUGAAGACAAAUUUCACCCGAUUUGCUGAAAUAGUCAGGCAUAUAGGCGUCGGGUGGGAUGCAGACACAAAUACCAUCACAGCCGACCCAGAUAUUUGGAAUAUGUUUACAAAGAAUAGGGCGUACGAGACAUUCCGGAGCAAGGGCUGCAAGCACUACGAUUUCCAAAAGUAACUGUUUAGUUCUUCAGUUGCUAUCGGUACUCUUCGCAUCUCCUCGACCGAUCCACCUCCAACUUUAGAAGAAGAACGUCGGUUAAAUAAGGAAUUCUUAUCUCGGGGGAAGGGAAAACAGAAACAACAUAUGGAUCUCGAAGAAGGAUCUGACGAGAGUGACGACCCCGUCCAUGUUGCAGAGCCCAUUCUAACCGAGUCUCAACGUCGAGUGCCGAAAAGAAGUCAACGCAAGAGCUCACAAAUGUAGGAGUGCAUGGACAUGUUCGGGGAAAGUCUCACAAAGAAGCGACAGAUCACCCCAACGUCGGCAAAAGACAAGCAAAUCGGUAUCGAGCCCUGAGAAACCUGAGAAGAAUAGUAUCGAGGAAGCCCUCGAUGAGUUGGCUAAAUUGAAAUUAAGAAUCCCUCACCCCUUGUUUUUGAAAGUAGGCUCGACACUCCUUGAUCCGGCAGCGAUGAGGCUUUUCAUGUAGUUCAAGGAGAACGAUCGUCUGGAAUGGAUAUUGCAGCUUUCUCAUCCUUGAAGAAUCCAUGAUCCCAUAUAUAUAUAUAUAUAUAUAUAUUCCGAUAAACAACGUUGUUUCUUUGCUUGUUAUGACUCAACUCAUACUGCUCAUGUUUUUUCUGUGCGUUUGCUUAUGUUGAUGAUUAUAUAUAUUUUAUGUGUGUGUUGCAUGUUA